Molecule: unclassified non-coding RNA, 284 nt
Filed under: Hevea brasiliensis (rubber tree)
Lineage: Eukaryota; Viridiplantae; Streptophyta; Magnoliopsida; Malpighiales; Euphorbiaceae
Source: RNAcentral
CUUGAUGAGGCACUUACAUUAUUUGAAGCAAUGGAAAGGAGUCAAUUGAAGCCGAAUCAUGUGAGUUAUACCAUCUUGAUUGAUGGCAUGUGCAAAGCUGGGAAGCUUCAUGAUGCCAAGGAAUUUUUUUCUGGGCUUUUUAAAAAAGGCUUGCAGCCUAAUGUUUAUACAUAUGGUAUAAUAAUUAAAGGCCUUUGCAUAGAGGGAUUGCUAGUUGAAGCAUACAAGGUGUUUAGAGGGAUGGAAGAUGGUGGAUGUUCACCAAAUGGUUGCUGUUAUAAUGU